AUGGGCCUUCUUGACAACAAACAAGUUGCAAUAAAGAAGCCGAUCAAUGGUAGUGUGAUAGAGAAUGAACAAUUUGCAAAUGAAGUCAUCAUCCAAUCUCAAGUCAUCCACAAGAACAUUGUUAGGCUCGUUGGUUGUUGCCUUGAAGUUGAAUCCCCCAUGCUGGUCUAUGAGUUAUCUCCCAAGGAAGCCUACAUGACAUUCUUCACAGCAACAAUAACAAGGUUGCUCUCAACUUGGAUGCACGUUUAA
This 252-nucleotide ribosomal RNA is filed under the name Triticum aestivum (bread wheat). RNAcentral's name for it is "partial small subunit ribosomal RNA". Lineage: Eukaryota; Viridiplantae; Streptophyta; Magnoliopsida; Poales; Poaceae. The record is from RNAcentral.